CUACGGGUUGCUCCAGUGGGGAAUAUUGCACAAUGGGCGCAAGCCUGAUGCGGCCAUGCCGCGUGUAUGAAGAAGGCCUUCGGGUUGUAAAGUACUUUCAGCGGGGAGGAAGGGAGUAAAGUUAAUACCUUUGCUCAUUGACGUUACCCGCAGAAGAAGCACCGGCUAAGUCCGUGCCAGUAGCCGCGGUAAUACGGAGGGUGCAAGCGUUAAUCGGAAUUACUGGGCGUAAAGCGCACGCAGGCGGUUUGUUAAGUCAGAUGUGAAAUCCCCGGGCUCAACCUGGGAACUGCAUCUGAUACUGGCAAGCUUGAGUCUCGUUGAGGGGGGUAGAAUUCCAGGUGUAGCGGUGAAAUGCGUAGAGAUCUGGAGGAAUACCGGUGGCGAAGGCGGCCCCCUGGACGAAGACUGACGCUCAGGUGCGAAAGCGUGGGGAGCAAACAGGAUUAGAUACCCUUGUAGUC
This 464-nucleotide ribosomal RNA is filed under the name uncultured bacterium. Its description in RNAcentral is "partial 16S ribosomal RNA". It matches the Rfam family "Bacterial small subunit ribosomal RNA", at positions 339 to 795 of the family's 1533-position model. The record is from RNAcentral.